Molecule: unclassified non-coding RNA, 431 nt
Filed under: plant metagenome
Description: partial contains 5.8S ribosomal RNA, internal transcribed spacer 2, and large subunit ribosomal RNA
Rfam family: 5.8S ribosomal RNA (bases 1-102)
Source: RNAcentral
AAACUGCGAUAAGUAGUGUGAAUUGCAUUUAGUGAAUCAUCGAAUCUUUGAACGCACCCUGCACUCACUGGUAUUCCGGUGAGUACGCCUGUUUCAGUAUCAUUGAAAACACACAAUCAAAACAUUUUCUUUGGUUUGAUUGGCUUUGGGUCUAUCAAAAAGUUUGGCUUGUUUCUUACAAGCCAAGCGGCCUGAAAUAUAUUGUCUGGCUAAUUGCAUCGUUGAUGAUCGCUAUUAGACUUUGGCUUUUUUAAAUGAACUGGAGGUUGAUUAACCAGUUUUAGCUUUAGUCAAAUGGUCAUUGUAAAAAAAAUCUCGAUCUUGACUAGGUGUUUAUAGCCGAAAAUUUUUUUUUGGCUAUAACCGAAACCAAUAUAAUCACAUUUAGUUAUCGAUCUGAAAUCAGGUGGGACUACCCGCUGAACUUAAGC